GUUUUGGCUGGCUGGUCCGCCUCACCGCAUGUACUGGUCUGGCCGAAACUUUCCUCCUGGGGAACCGCAUGCCCUUUACUGGGUGUGUUGGGAAACUAGGACUUUUACUUUGAAAAAAUUAGAGUGUUCAAAGCAGGCAAUUGCUCGGAUACAUUAGCAUGGAAUAAUAGAAUAGGACGC
Molecule: ribosomal RNA, 180 nt
Filed under: uncultured Glomeromycotina
Lineage: Eukaryota; Fungi; Glomeromycota
Description: partial small subunit ribosomal RNA
Source: RNAcentral